AAAGAAAACAGACUGCUUUCUUGGAAUUUACAGUCUCCUGGGAAAACCGACAUUAAACAAAAAAUAACCACAUAAAUAUAUCAUUACACCUGAUGAUUAAGAAAAGAAGAUGAUAUGAAACAGAAUGACAUGGCAGAGGCAGGAAAGACCUCUCUGAGGAAGUCAUACAUAAGGCAAAGUUCAAAAGAUGGGAUAAGCAGGAGGCAGAAGGAAAAGCAGAGGCAGAGGCAAUGAGGCAGGAAAGAACUUGGUGUUCAAGAACUGAGAGAGGACCAGUGUGGCUGGAACACAGCAAGUGACCAGGGGGAAUUGCACAAAAUGAGCUUGGAAAGAUAGGCGGGCCCCAGAGGAAGAAGGCCUGGCCACAUGAUCUCUAAUCUUUCUAUUUACUCGAGUCCCUUCUUUCUUUGCAAACUCUACUCAAGGUUUACCUCCUCUGAGAAGCCUUCUUGAAUAAUACCACAUUGUUCUAAGUAAUAGUCUUAUUUUAAUUACAUCAUUCCAACAACUUCAUCACAUAAUUUGUAGUUUAUAAGCCACUCAUUCUGUUUCCUGCGAAUAUAUCGGUUUACCCAACAGACGUGGGACAGGGUUUUCUGUUUCCUCUUUUGCCUGAUCUCCUCCAAGCACCCAGUGUAUCAGGAAUGUUCUGUCGAGAAUAAGAGUCUCCCUUGGCGCUGGACUUUAUUCCCAGAAAGCUCUUGGAGUCCAGGCAGAUAAUCCCUGGGGUUCUAUCUUCCCUGUCUGGAGAACUGACCUACUUCCAGGUCUUCAAAACUUGUCGUGGAACAACCAAAUUUCCCAGGGUCCAUGCAUAUUUUUCCAAACACCUGCCCAUCUCCGGAGUUAUUCUUCCCCUCCCCCCUCCAAUCACCGGAUUAGAGGCAUCACCGCUGUUGCUAAGGGAAUAAGGCUUGGGCAGGUGGGAGUGAGCUGAAGGCUGAUACAGCAGGGAGUCAGGUUGGUCAGCAGGAAAAAACCUCUCAGCUGUGAGGAGGGGAAAGCCAGCAAUGCAUUUCCAAGUGCUUCUUGCCAGCCUUUUCCCCCCCCAAGUGUUACAUGCUUGUUCUCUAAAAGCCUUCAGGAUUUUUUAAAAAAACCUCUGGUGUCUUAAAUUUUACAACGUUAUGGCUUCUUGCGGUCGGCCGGUUUUCAUAAACGAAGGAAGCUGUUGUCCAUCUUGACUGGUCCUCUUGAAGUCCUUGUGAGAAUGGGCCAUGGAGGAGAGGUCCCUGAGUGCUGUUAACAAUGCAGAGAUAUUUUAAGGAAGAUUAGCCCUGAGCUAACAUCUGCUGCCAGUCCUCCUCUUUUUGCUGAAGAAGACUGGCCCUGAGCUAACAUCCGUGCCCAUCUUCCUCUACUUUAUAUGUGGGACGCCUACCACAGCAUGGCUUGCUAAGCAGUGCCAGGUCUGCCACCCAGGAUCUGAACCAGCGAACCCCAGGCCACCGAAGCGGAACGUGCGCACUUAACCGCUGCGUCACCGGACCAGCCCCCUAAAUAUUUCUGAAAUCUCUCCUGCUUCUUUCUACCCCACUGCCACUUCCCUAGGCCAGUCUGCCAUCACCAUUCACCUAAAUUAUUACAUUGGUAUUCUAACUGGUCUCACAGACACACCUCCACUCUUGCCACUUUCUAAUCUGUUCUACAGUCUGUAGCCAGAAGGAUUUUUCUAAAAUUAAAACAUGAUCAUGUCACUCUUCUACUUAAAACUCUUCAGCGGCUAACUGGUGCCCACAGGAUAGAAUCCAAUGUCUUAAGGUAGGAUCCUACCUAGGCUCCAAGGCGCCCUGCAUGGUUUGGCUCCUGUUUUCCUCUUCAGCCUCAUUUCUUACCAGUCCUCACCUCCCAUUCCAUGCUCUGGCCAUACGGAACUGUCUUCCUGUCCUCCCUCCCCCUAAGCUCUCUCACCUCUAGGCCUUCGCAUAAGCUGUUCCCUCUGCGAGGAGCCCUCUUCACUUACUUAACUUCCACUCACCCUUCAGAUUUCCUCUCAG
Molecule: long non-coding RNA, 1997 nt
Organism: Equus asinus (donkey)
Lineage: Eukaryota; Metazoa; Chordata; Mammalia; Perissodactyla; Equidae
Source: Ensembl